UACUCCAACAGAGAACUCUGCUACUCCACAUUCUGAUAUUGUUACCUAUUCUGUCAUCAACAUACGGCUUCCGCUUCUCUCUCAUGCUCGCCUGAAGGCUCUCCUUUAAGCCACAAGCCAGAAAUUUGGUCUGCAAUAAAGAACAGCCUCAGAGCUCACGAAAAGGACUCUGCCGGGUAUUUUUUAACAAUUGAUAUUUCAGAAAAUAGACUUAGAAGGUGACAUCGCUUAGAAAAUUGCAGAGGGACGUGGGAUUUCCAGGAUGCUUUGUAAUUCAGUACCAGAUAAUUUUAUAGAAGCCAACUGAUGACUCAAGCUCUAAUGGAAGAAGAAUAAAUUAAGAAUGACUGAAGGAACUCAAGAAGAACAUCUAAUUGUGAUCAUUUAUUUUGGAAUAAUGCUGAGACGUCAUGCAAGUGGAAUUAUACAAUAUAGUUGAUACACUCUUAUCCAGAGGGAUACGUUCCAAGACCCACAGUGGAUGCCUGAAGCCAUGGAUAGUACCAAACUACGUGAGAUGAUAAAACACCUACGUGAUGACAUGAAAUGAGGGGAAUGACCUAGGCACUGAGACAUAGCAUUGGGUUGCUAUUGACUUUCUGGCCAUAUGUCGGAAGGAGGACCAUCUGUUUCUGGACUGCGGUUGACCACAGGUAACUGAGACCACAGAGAGCAAAAGGAAGAGGAGAUUUGGACACACAAAGAGACACAAGGGGCACUCCACAAAGGAAAGAGCAUAUGAGGACACAGCAAGAAGACAGCCAUGUGCAAGCCAAGGAGAGAGGCCUCAGGGAAAACCAAACCGGCUGACAACCUGGCCUCGGACUUUCAGCCUCUAGACCCGUGGAAAAUAAAUCUCUGCUGUCGAAGCCA
Molecule: long non-coding RNA, 873 nt
Organism: Felis catus (domestic cat)
Lineage: Eukaryota; Metazoa; Chordata; Mammalia; Carnivora; Felidae
Exons: 4
Source: RefSeq, a predicted model, not a curated record